UCUUUACUGGGCAUAUUGUACGAAAAACAUCCUACGACAUGUAGCGUGAAAGGCGUACAUUAUAGACACAAAUAGAUAUUUAUCUAGUCAUCUAGUCUUUCUAAUGUAUACAGUGAUUGCUGGAUAAAACAUAAUACUUCUUUUAUGCUUGUUCACGUAUUUGUCGAUCAAUGUUUUAAGAAUGACGUAAUAAUAGAUGACGUCAGGCGGAUGUUCGCAUGAAGGCUUUUGAGGAAAUCUUUUUUUCUUUUUUUUUCUUUUUUUUUUUUGGGGGGGGGGGUUUUGGUUUGGUGUUUUGGGGUUGUUUUUUGUUGUUGUUGGAUUUGUUUGUUGUGGGGGUUUUGGGGGUGGGGGGAGGGUUCUGUGGCUUAUUUUGGACCAAUUUUCCAUCUUCUUGCUAACUUAUCUGCUUCCUUAUUACCUGGGAUGUUGCAAUGUGAUGGUUUCCACUGAAUUGUUUGUUUGUGUGCCACAGGUUAGCGCAGAAAGAGUUUAGCAAAUUCAUUCCUGUCUUUGUUUUGGGGGGGUCUUUGAGAGCUUGGAGGACCGAGAGAGCAACCGAGUACAUGAGAACUUUCCAAUGUGUAUGAUAACACGACUGAGAAAAUGCUACUGUAAACACAGGUACCACAUGCAUUGUACACACCACGGGUAUCCCCAAACAUCAACGUCAACUAUGUUAUAGUAAAGUUAUAUAAUAUGUAACUAUAGUAUUUGCAUUAAGGUUUUUUGUUUGGGGGGUACCUGUGGUACACACCUUUCCGAGUGGAAAAAAACCCCUGAAACAUGAUGUGAUUGUGGCACAGUCUCCAUGACUUAUCGCUCAUUUCCUACAGCAUUGUCCCCACUACUAGUACCAGAGGAAAGUAUAGUCUGGCCUUCAGAUGAAUCCCUGAAGAAAAAACUAUAUGGCCCCAAGGAAAAUCUGCAACACACAGCAGCAUUUGUUCGAGAUACUGCGGUCCCUGUCAGCGUUCGAAGAAGUUUGUUUUUAUAGGUUUUUGUUUGACGUCAUAGAUAUUUUAACGUCAUGAAUUUUCCCACGUUGAGCUCAAAUUAUGACGACAAGGUUGGGGAAACCUCGUGUUUUAGCUGAUCGACAUCAAAUUGACAACGUAGCAUGAGAUGACAAAAUAAAGCCAGAAUUUUAGCGACAGAAGCACAAAUGUCUUGGCAAAAAGUCGGUCAAGCUGCCACAUCGACGCUUACCGAGGAAGUGGAAGACGAUGGGAAUAUUAACAAUAAACGCAGAUGGACACUUGUACAAAACGUAGCAAGGGUUAUUGCGUGGAACUCAAGUCGAAAGGUUGAGGUGAAGGAAAGCGAUACAGAUCCGUUCUUACAGAGGUUUACUUCAGUUGCCACUGGUUUGAAGAACAAAAAACAUUUCAAAUACAAAAGUUUCUUCACCUGGAAAUUGUGGAGUGAACUGGUUAUCAACCCUGCAGACUGGGUCUUCUAUAAAUGGUCCGAGGUCGUCGCCGUUGCCAUAUAUUACAACAUCAUCGUGAUUAUAGUCAGAUCCGUUUUCCAGGAGCUGCAUCAAUCAUACCUUAUGCCCAUGUGGUUUGUUAUGGACUACACCUGUGACCUUAUCUAUAUCUUCGAUGGAUUUAUCAGAAGUCGAUUAGGGUUUUUGGAGCAAGGCAUCCUGGUGACUGAUGUGAAAAUAUUGACCUGUCACUAUCUCAUGUCACGGAGAUUUUUUCUGGACUUCAUAAGCGUAAUCCCCUUAGAGAUACUGUAUAUUUUUGUCGAGUACAACUCGUUCCUGCGUUUGAACAGAGUUAUAAAAGUGACUAGACUAGGCGAAUUUUACCAAGAUUCGCAGACCAGGACGAACUCGCCCACCCUGUUCCGGCUGACGUGUCUGAUCGUCAACAUCGUCAUCGUGAUUCACUGGAACGCGUGCAUCUUCUACGCCUUCAGCGCCCUGUUCGGCUUCAACUCGGACGGCUGGGUGUACGCGGUGACGAAGAAAGAGGACAUGUGGUUCGCGCACAAGUACCUGGCGUGCUUCUACUGGUCGAUGCUCACACUGACGGCCAUCGGAGACACGCCGCCGCCGGAGAGGGUGGAGGCGCUGCUCUACGCCACCUGCUGCACCUUGUGCGGCGUCCUCAUCUUCGCCACCAUCUUCGGCAACAUCGGCAUCAUGAUCAACCAGAUGAACGCCACCCGCCAGCAGUUCGAGCAGGACCUCGACUCGGUGAAGCGCUACAUGGCCAUACGGAAGGUGAGCCCGUUUCUCCAGGAGCGGGUCUUCCACUGGUUCACCUACCAGUGGAAGAACAACAAGCAGUCGGUGGACGACGGGCAGGCCCUGGCCGUGCUGCCGGAGAAACUGCGCGCCGAGAUCGCCAUCUACGUGCACCUGGACACCCUGAAGAGGGUGGCGCUCUUCAAGGACUGCGAGCCGGGCCUGCUCAUCGAGCUGGUGCUGAAGCUCCGGCUGCAGGUGAUCAGUCCAGGGGACUUCAUCUGCCGGAAGGGCGAGGUCGGGAAGGAGAUGUACAUCGUGAAGCGCGGCAAGCUGAUCGUGCUGUCGGAGGACGGCGAGGAGGUGCUCGGUACGCUGGAGGACGGCGCCGUCUUCGGCGAGAUCAGCAUCCUCAACAUCAAGGGAAACCGGACGGGAAACCGGCGGACGUGCCACGUGCGCAGCGUCGGCUACUCUGACCUGUUCUACCUGUCCAAAGUGGACCUGUGGCAGGCGCUGUCCGAGUACCCGAGCGCCAAACGCAUGCUGCAGGAACGUGGCCGGCAGAUGCUGAAGAAGGACCACCUCCUCGACGAGAAGGACAUGGCUCACGAGGACAUCAUCGUGCCCAUGGAGGAGCGCGUCCUCUCCAUAGCCGAGCAGCUCAGCGUCGUCAACGCCAAGAUGGACGCCAUGGCCGACAGACUUAACAACCUGAUGCCCAAUCAUGGCAGAAAGUACUCAACCGUAGGUCGGCUUGUAGACAAGGCCACAUCGCCCGUGUUCAAAUUUUCACCCAAGGACUCUCCUCCCCCAAAACGCCGGCAGAGUAGGGCUACCAGUCCCAUUGUGAGAACGGGAAAACUGGGCAAACUAGGAUCAGUUAGCAAACAUCACAAACCUGAAUUUUUGUAAGCAGGAAAUAUCGCCCUCAAUAUAGUAAUUAUCAUACGCGUACGGGCUCCCAUUUUUGUAGGGGGCAGGCUGGUUUUUGCCCGAAUUGAACGAAAAUGCUCGAAUCUGGAUAACAACAUUUAUUCAAAUUAGCAUUAUUGCCAAACAGCUAUAGGGUUUCAAACGAAUCACUACGCAUUUUUAAAUGAAUUACAACUAAUUUUACGGGUAGAAUAAUGGAAAUACAAUGGUAUAAAGGUCUCAGAUUAGUACAUUUUGUACGAAUAUCUUUAUAAUUUUUGCCUCAAUUUGAGAAUUUGUUCCAGAACUGCCAAACCCCCACCCACCCCUACACCCCUGUCUCGUACGCUUAAAUUAUUAUUAUUAUUAUUAUUAUUUAUUAUUAUUAUUAUUGAAAUACAAAUAACAGAUUGGAAAACGUUUAACUGAGACAUACCUAAACGUAUCUUGAAGCGAGAUGUGACAUCAAUACGACGCCUGUACAUCUUUGACUUAGACAUUAGACGUUUGAAGAGUUUUUCAAAUAUGGGCAUAAGAAUAACAAGCUACACAUGAAUGGAGAUUGACGUCAUUGCUGAUUAUGACUUACUUGCACUGAUUUUGAUAUCUCCUUAUAGUUUGAGAUUAGAUUCUUUUUCUUUUUGUGUGUGUUUGUGCAAAAUUUGCACAUUAAUGAUAAAAUAGUCUGACAAUGUUAAAUAAACAAAUUAUGUGUUUCACUUUAUUAGUUUUCGAGAUACAUAUUGUGAGAACUCGUUUGUUGUUUUUAUUUGAAAAACGAUAACUUCAGAAAUACUUUUAAAUCUGAAAAUUUCAGUUGUCAUAGAAGCUGUAAAGUUAUAAGAAAAUUAAAUCAUUGAUAUUUUGUAAAAAAAAAA
This 3993-nucleotide unclassified non-coding RNA is filed under the name Gigantopelta aegis. Its description in RNAcentral is "cyclic nucleotide-gated cation channel alpha-3-like, transcript variant X1". The record is from RNAcentral. Lineage: Eukaryota; Metazoa; Mollusca; Gastropoda; Neomphalida; Peltospiridae.